GGCCUGGUGGUCUAGUGGCUAGGAUUCGGCGCUUUCACCGCCUCGGCCCGGGUUCAAUUCCUGGUCAGGGCA
RNAcentral lists this transfer RNA (72 nucleotides) under Loxodonta africana (African savanna elephant). It matches the Rfam family "tRNA". Rfam says of the family: Transfer RNA (tRNA) molecules are approximately 80 nucleotides in length. Their secondary structure includes four short double-helical elements and three loops (D, anti-codon, and T loops). The record is from Rfam by way of RNAcentral. Lineage: Eukaryota; Metazoa; Chordata; Mammalia; Proboscidea; Elephantidae.